ANGAAGUCNGUAACAAGGUUUCCGUAGGUGAACCUGCGGAAGGAUCAUUG
This 50-nucleotide ribosomal RNA is filed under the name Senecio glomeratus. RNAcentral's name for it is "partial 18S ribosomal RNA". It matches the Rfam family "Eukaryotic small subunit ribosomal RNA", at positions 1783 to 1831 of the family's 1831-position model. RNAcentral also lists the same sequence under 5 other names. Lineage: Eukaryota; Viridiplantae; Streptophyta; Magnoliopsida; Asterales; Asteraceae. The record is from RNAcentral.